RNAcentral lists this long non-coding RNA (202 nucleotides) under Sarcophilus harrisii (Tasmanian devil). RNAcentral describes it as "lncRNA (ENSSHAG00000027415.1)". The record is from RNAcentral. Lineage: Eukaryota; Metazoa; Chordata; Mammalia; Dasyuromorphia; Dasyuridae.
CUUGGAGGAGAUAAACCUGCAUCCCUGAAGCCUGGAGUUUGGAACCGUGAGCUAUCUGUAAAUAGUCAUGAGAUGGACAUCCACUAAAUGAGAUUAAAAUGAGAGGAAAUGCGCUUAAAUCAAAACAGAAGAAAAUGUGGCAACAUGAAAGAAAGAACUUUUGACCAUCAAUACAAUAAGGCUCCUUCCUUUGAACAUGAAU